RNAcentral lists this ribosomal RNA (376 nucleotides) under uncultured bacterium. RNAcentral's name for it is "partial 16S ribosomal RNA". It matches the Rfam family "Bacterial small subunit ribosomal RNA", at positions 355 to 723 of the family's 1533-position model. The record is from RNAcentral.
UGGGGAAUUUUGGACAAUGGGCGAAAGCCUGAUCCAGCAAUGCCGCGUGUGUGAAGAAGGCCUUCGGGUUGUAAAGCACUUUUGUCCGGAAAGAAAUCCUUGGCUCUAAUACAGUCGGGGGAUGACGGUACCGGAAGAAUAAGCACCGGCUAACUACGUGCCAGCAGCCGCGGUAAUACGUAGGGUGCAAGCGUUAAUCGGAAUUACUGGGCGUAAAGCGUGCGCAGGCGGUUUGCUAAGACCGAUGUGAGAUCCCCGGGCUCAACCUGGGAACUGCAUUGGUGACUGGCAGGCUAGAGUAUGGCAGAGGGGGGUAGAAAUUCCACUGUAGCAGUGAAAUGCGUAGAGAUGUGGAGGAAUACCGAUGGCGAAGGCA